GCUAAUGCUAUAAAACAGGUCUGGUAGCUUGCCCAGUCGUCACAAUGUCCGCGUAGAGAAAAGCAACAGGACUGUCACUACACGUGGAAAUUCAGGUGAACAUGCGGGAAUGUGACAGCUUAUAGGAGAAGCCGACAAUGAACAAGGAGAGUAAACGGUCACCUGCCUUAGACCGGACAAACCAGAGGAGGCAGAAGAAUGGGCCCACUGAGCCUCACACACCAUCUUCAACCAACCUGGUGUUGCCAAAUCCACAUGUGUCCCAGCAGGCUCUCAGAGGGAGUGGCUCAAGCCCAAAGCUCCAGGGAUCCAGAGGUUUUGCGUCCAGGGGUCGUGGUUACAGCAGUAGUCUACCUGUCAGUGGCACCAGUGAAAGUCUCCUGCAGAGAGACAGAUCUACAGGGGAACCACAGGGAAAGAACACAAAGAGGAAUGAUUCUCAAGGAAGAACCACAGGAAGAAACUCAGUGGAUUCACAGAGAAAAGGUUUCAGAGGCGCCAGGUCAGCCCCAAGCUCUGCAGGGAAGCCAAAAUCAGAACAGACUCUCUCAGCCCUGUUUGAGGUGAAAAUGGCUGAUUUCCCGGAGUUAUCAGGUGUUUCAUCGAGCAAAACAGCCCCUCCUGUUUCCCAGACGGACUGCUGGGGUCCAAGUCCACCAUCCACAAACCCCAAAACUCCUCAACUGACAUCUUCCUGGAAGGUAAUUUCAGGGAACCAUGAAAUGUGA
This 728-nucleotide long non-coding RNA is filed under the name Salarias fasciatus (jewelled blenny). RNAcentral describes it as "lncRNA (ENSSFAG00005021262.1)". Lineage: Eukaryota; Metazoa; Chordata; Actinopteri; Blenniiformes; Blenniidae. The record is from RNAcentral.